AACGAACGCUGGCGGCAUGCCUAACACAUGCAAGUCGAACGAGAUCUUCGGGUCUAGUGGCGCACGGGUGCGUAACGCGUGGGAAUCUGCCCUCAGGUUCGGAAUAACCAUUGGAAACGAUGGCUAAUACCGGAUGAUGACGUUAAGUCCAAAGAUUUAUCGCCUGAGGAUGAGCCCGCGUAGGAUUAGCUAGUUGGUGUGGUAAAGGCGCACCAAGGCGACGAUCCUUAGCUGGUCUGAGAGGAUGAUCAGCCACACUGGGACUGAGACACGGCCCAGACUCCUACGGGAGGAAGCAGUGGGGAAUAUUGGACAAUGGGCGAAAGCAUGAUCCAGCAAUGCCGCGUGAGUGAUGAAGGCCUUAGGGUUGUAAAGCUCUUUUACCCGGGAUGAUAAUGACAGUACCGGGAGAAUAAGCUCCGGCUAACUCCGUG
RNAcentral lists this ribosomal RNA (434 nucleotides) under uncultured bacterium. RNAcentral describes it as "partial 16S ribosomal RNA". It matches the Rfam family "Bacterial small subunit ribosomal RNA", at positions 29 to 507 of the family's 1533-position model. The record is from RNAcentral.